ACAAGAAGGGUUUCUAUAAGUAUUUCAAUAGCAAGAGGAGGAUCAGGGAAUAUGUAGGUCCCUUACUGAAUGGGGGAGGCAACCUUGUGACAGAGGAUGCAGAAAAGACUGAAUGUUCAAUGCCUCUUUCACCUCAGUCUUCACAGGGCUGCUCAGCACUACAAAGCAGUCAGAGGAGGACAGCCUUAGCUGGACCUGUGUUCUGUUAUGUAGAUACGAGGGAAGGAGAUUAUACAACACCAUAUGACUUCAGAGAAGUGCCAACAUCACUUCUGAGAUUUCAGUGACGCAUGCACUUCAACUAUGGAAUGGUUAGGUGUUGAGCUUGUAAAAUGCUGGACUAUGGCUUUUUAAGUGGACCCUGCAUUUGCUCCUCAGAAUCCAAUGGACCUACCUUCCUUUUCUUUCUUCAAACGUUAUAUUCCCCCCCUUCCCUUCAAUAUCUUCCUUCAGGCUAUAAGGAACUAGAUGGGAAAUUUUGAGAAGCUCAUUAGUACACUUCCUCUGUUGCUCAAGGGGGUCACUGCAUAAUCAUAUUUGAUGUUACCUCCCUGACAAAGGUUUUUGAACCUUUCCUACCAUGGGAAAAGACAGGCAGUACUCCACAAACAUAAUCAUGGCUAUUAUGCUAUAUCAGUAUUUGGGAAAUUCAUUUCCAGAACCUAGGAUUCACAUACUUUCUUAAUCUGAAUUCCCAGAAGGGUUCUUUGGGAUCCUCCUUAAAUAACUAGGGCUGAGCCCUAGAUUAUAAUUGCAAUGGAAUGCAAAUUAUGAGCUAUAAAGCCAUCUCUAACUUUACCAUAUCUAAUUAGUUUAUCACUUAAAAUACUAAACUACUUCAAGGCAUGCCUGUGGACAUGUUGCCAUUAUCUUCUUAUAGAAAGUUCUGUUUGUUAGUAUGGUCUGAAACCUUGGGAUAACAAGAGCACGUCAUACCGGUAGUAACUUGUAGGGCAUGUCCACAUGACUGUGCACGUGUUUCCCCAGGGCCAAAUAGCAGCGGGCAUAUAGUUAUGCUGCACCUGGGCUAGCUCCAGCAGCCUUACCUUGAGUCCUGGAGGCUCCUGAGACUGCAGCAGCAGCAAUCCGGGCACACAGAGCCUGGCCGGAAACCUGUGUGUGGCUAGCCAGGCUCUAGUUUCUGGUGGUGCGUGCUGCAGCCAUAUGCACUGCCCUGCUUUUUUUGGCAUUUUUUUUAGAUACCAUGAUUUCCUGCUAUUUAAUUUUGGCUCUGUGCUGCAAAUAUGCAGCCAGGAGAACCUUUUAUUAUGUGCUGCGUGUUUUGGUGUACCUCAAAAGACUUUGAGGUGCUGCAAAGUGCGCACACAUAAUUUCCACAUCUUAUUUUCUUCUCACCCUACUUUAUUUAAGGAACUGAAUGCAAGUGGAAGGUGUAGGAGAACUGACAGUCCUAAACAGGGACUGCAGGGGCAAGAGUAGUGCUCUAAACUUCAGCCGUCACCUGGAGAGAACACCUGUUAAGUCUCAGUCCCUGUUCCUUUAGCUGAGGCUGCUAACCAAGGUGCCAAUAUGUACUAGUUUAAGGCAGUUUCAGUAAUGUGGACUGCUGUCUAACAGCAAGUAUGCUGAGGCUCAUUUCACAGAAAUCAUUGAAUGGCUGUCAGAGAGUAAUGGUUUUUUGUGGUUACCAGCACAGGCCAAAUUCAGACUAGUAACUGAGGUGAAAGGUGACCAAUUUCCUGGGCUAUCCAAUUUCCACUCCUAUUAUAUUACUUAAUAUCCUCUGUGUCUUGUAGAAUUUCGAUAUACAUCCAAAAAAGUGUUAUUGUAUGAUUCCUUCAGAAUUCUACUGCUGUUUCUUAUCGUAGAAAUGUAAGUGUUGACAUAGUUUAAAAAAUAUAUAAUUACGAACGUCUCAAAGAUUCAAUAAAAUGUAUCUUAUUGCUUUGCCCAAAGAAAGCUGCUUUGGCUAGUUUCCUCCGUGUAACUGUCAGCAAUCUAAUAUCACAUAAUACAAUACUUUGCACUUAAAACACCUGUCUGCUAAGGAAUAUAAAAUUCUUUACAAAGACAGAUCAAUAUUAUUCCCAUAUUACAGAGGAAGCUCAGCGAUUUGGAGAACUGCAUGCAGUGUAUCGGGACAAAGCUGAGAGGGAGAUCCCUGUGCUUUACUCCAGGACACUGAGCAAAAUGACUGUAGAGCUGCAAAAAUGUUCCAAAACCCUAUACCCAUUGGGGAUCAGACGUCCCCCAGUGCAGAAACCGUGACCACAGCCUAAAGAUGGUCUUCAAAGGCUUGUGGGUAUGUUGAGUCGCAUGCAGAAUAGUGUGACCUACACAAUAACACAGGCAGACAGCCAUCUCAUAGGUCACUGGAAGAAGUUAGGCUGGAGCAGCCCAGAAUUGGGAGAACGCAAAGGUGGCUCAAAGCAACUAUAGAUCUUUUCCUCAUGGCUACAAAUUCUAUGUUGUUCCUUUUAAAAGUGCAGAACAGAACCUUAUUCUAAGCUUCCUGACUACUAUUGCUCCUCUAAUUACCAGUCAAGGCUGCUUCCCUAACAACUUGGCAAAAUAGGCCUGUAAAAGCCUAAUUUGGUGUGUGUUGCAGAACUAAGCAGUGAAUUUUCCUUUUGUUGUUGUUGUUGUUGUUGUUGUUGAAAUUGUCCUUAUCACGGGUUAAUCAGUUGUAUUGUGCCUGUCUCAUGACUGUAAUAUAGAACUCACCCCCUGUAUAUUCCCCUCUUUUCUAUUUGGCACUCUAAAAGAUUAUAAUAUGUAAUCAAACAUAUAUCAUGUGUGUGGGAGUGUUGGGAGGGGCUGUAUUCACCAACACUUUCAAGAAUGACUAUUGCUUUUGUUACCUCAGUGUUUGGGUGCUCAGCUUGUGACACAUUAAAGAAUUAGAACACAAAAGCUGAUUUUUUUUUUUUUAUUUUUUUUUGAGUGGAAGCUAAGCACUUCUUGAAUAUUGGGCACUUUUUUCGGUGUCUUCAGUUGGGCAACCAAAAUCAUUUGUUAAAAUUCUGGAUAUGAGAGAGUGGUAAAACACCUUAAGACUCAUCAGAAUAAAAGGCUCUAAGAAUUUGUAAGGUUAUUCUUACUGCAAGCUGUAAGAUCUUUGUAAAUUCAAACAUUAUUAACUACCUUCUUUCUCUAUUAGUACAAAUUUGCCCUUGGCAAAGGAGAGUGCUGUCUUGUCUGCCUUGCAGGCAUUCACACAAUUAACUCUCUUUCAAAAACAUACACAAGGUUCCUGCUGUCACCAUUCUUAGGCAAAUACAUUCAAGCUAUGUCUGAUAUAUGAGGUAUGUUUUUACUGGGGCAGAAUUAACAAGCAUUAGCUAUUUCAUUGUGGAAAAAUAUUGGUGAUUAGUGUUUUAGUGCGACAGUGAGGACAUUAACUGUGGGCAGAAAAAUGUAUUGACCUCCCCUAAUAACCUUGCCUUAUCUACACAUAGGAUUUUACAAGGGAUAACUGUCAUAUGUUAGUUAUUUCUCUGUAAAAAAACCUUUGUGUUAGUGAAGACAAAACAUCAGCUAAAUGACACUGGGAAUACCUGCACAAUAGUGGGGGCAUCUACACAUGCAAUUAAUGUUCCUCUUUAAACUCUGGCACAGUUUGUGCCAGAUUUUAUUGCUUCCAGGCUUGCGUGUGCACCAGGAUUGCAGCACGUUAAGCCGGGUCAGAGCAGCUUCAGCUGGCAGGGGGCCCGGGGAGUUGGCCUGCCAGCCUAGGGUUGCUUUGACCUGCCUCAAUGUGCUGCAGAGGGGCUAGCUGGCGCAUGAGGGUGCUCCAGGGCGGGGCUAUCCAGCAGCACUGAAGCACCCUUGGGCUCUAGACAGUGCCAUGAGUGUCUACACAUGCAUUGUGGUGCAGUAAAUAAUGCUGCCAAGGGAUAAUACUUGUGUUUACAAGUACUAACCUACAGUAGCCUUUAUUAGUCUAAUGAGGCCUAAUAUGGCAAAAUAUAUAGACACUGUGCAUAUCUACAUGUGCACUAAUGCACUUUUACUAAUGCACAUUAAAUUUAGUACUUCCAAUAUGAGCUACUAAAUAAAUGCACGAUAUGCUGCACUAAUGUGUAGUAGUGCAAGCACAGGCUUUUCAGGUGAUGCUUAAUGUGCAGUAGCCUAUUCUACUGCACAUUAGCAUUUUAUCACGGUUUUUGAUGCACUUUAAUGCACAGUAGAAUAGGCUACUGUGCAUUAAAGUGCAUGUAUAGACAUGCCCACUGAGACUUUACUACAGAGGCAAUUAGGCAACUCUGCAGUAAAUAUCUCAUGUAGACGCACCCAGUAUCUGCAGUAUAGCAUAGACAUAUUGGCUACUUGCAGAUGUUAAAAGAAACAAAACAAAAUGGGGCUUUACUUUAAAUUCUGCAUGCUUCUGUGCCAAGCCCAGCACAAGCCCAGAAGAGGCAGGCAGUAGUUGGACUUAGCUCACCUGAUGUCUCUAUAGAUUGGGUGUUUUAGUGGGGCUUUUUUGGCACUUUUUUCUAAUACCUGCUUGAAUCAGCUUUAGCUAAAAGCACCAAAAAGUCCCACUGAAAGGCCCAAUUUAUACAGGUGCUGCAGAGCUGGGUCAAACUAACAUACUGCUUCUUCCAGUAAAAUGCUUUUUUUUUUUUUUUAAACAUCUGCAAACAGCCAUUGAAGCUAGCUUAGGUACCAGUAGCAGAUGAGCAAAAGGAGCACAGACCUCUGGUGUUGGCUCUAACAUCUACCUGAAAGGCUGGGUAAAUUAAUCUGUGCUGAGUUUCAGGCAGUUGCAGAUAGACUCCUGCUGGUACCAGUUACCCAGUUUAAAGCUAGCUUGGGUAUGUCUAUACUAUGCUGCAGCCACAUUAGUGACUGCAGCAUAGACAUAUUUAGUACAUACACAGGGUCUGACUCUGUUUCAUAUAGACACCUGCCUUUCUCACCUUUUUAAAAAUCUCACUCAUUCCUUUGCAAACAUCAUGUUACUAUAUUAAAUAAAAAUAAUAUGUUAUUCUAUAAGAAUGACAAAAAUGUUGUAAAUCCCAAUAGUUAUACUGUAGUUUUCGGAGCAAUUAUGAUAACAUAUUAAAAAUAUUUUAGUAAGAAAGGCCUCUCACCCACACUCUCUCUCGCACACGUCUAAUGUAAUCAUGCUGCAGCAAUGUACAUUGAACCAUGCCAAUCUGUUAGGCUGUUGUACAGAAAUAAGGCAGUUUAUUAUAUCUCUAGCAGCUACAAAAAAACCAAAUAGGCCAAAUAUCUGUUGCAGAAAGAUUUUAUUCACUUUGCAUGGAUGGAUUUUUAUAACUUUCAAGCAUAUGUACCCUCUGUAAGAAUAUGCUCUCUUUUCAGGAAUGAAAAAGGAAAAGAAAUCUAGGAGAAAAAAAGGAAACAGCAAUCAUAAUACCACUAUUUAUUAACUAGAAAAGCAGUAAGCACAAACUACAGCAGUCUCCUAGUAAACAAUACACUGGAGGUUCCAUGUGGCUUUGUAAGCAAUCAGAUUGGGGCAUGCUUGUCCUUCUAAGAUGACUCAGGACUCCAGACUGAGAACACAAUGGUGCCAGGCAGCCAGACAAUGGGCCUCUUCAACCUGUGACCAGUUUUAUGUUGGUGUGAUUGUGCUGAACUCAACACUGUGCCCCAUUGUUGUAAAAUGCUGUAACAGGUCUGUUAACUGUAGUA
Molecule: long non-coding RNA, 5625 nt
Organism: Alligator mississippiensis (American alligator)
Lineage: Eukaryota; Metazoa; Chordata; Crocodylia; Alligatoridae
Exons: 5
Source: RefSeq, a predicted model, not a curated record